RNAcentral lists this microRNA (22 nucleotides) under Drosophila melanogaster (fruit fly). RNAcentral's name for it is "dme-miR-4973-3p". The record is from miRBase by way of RNAcentral. Lineage: Eukaryota; Metazoa; Arthropoda; Insecta; Diptera; Drosophilidae.
UGCAACACUCACACCACGGCAA